Molecule: ribosomal RNA, 492 nt
Filed under: uncultured bacterium
Lineage: Bacteria
Description: partial 16S ribosomal RNA
Rfam family: Bacterial small subunit ribosomal RNA
Source: RNAcentral
AGUGAACGCUGGCGGUAGGCCUAACACAUGCAAGUCGAACGGCAGCACAGUAAGAGCUUGCUCUUACGGGUUGCGAGUGGCGUACGUGUGAGGUAUACAUCGGACUCUACUUUUUCGUGGGGGAUAACGUAGGGAAACUUACGCUAAUAUCGCAUACGACCUACGGGUGUGAGCAGGGGAUCUUCGCGCCUUGUGCGAUUGGACGAGCCGCUGUCGGAUUAGUUAGUUGGCGGGGUAAUGGCCCACCAAGGCGCCGAUCCGUAGCCGGUCUGAGUGGAUGAUCAGCGACACUGGAGGUGAGACACGGUCCAUACGCCUACGGGAGGCAGCAGUGGGGAAUGGUAGACAAUGGGCGCGAGCCUGAUCCAGCCAGACCGCGUGUGUGAAGGAGGCCUUCGGGUUGUAAAGCCCGUUUGUGGGGAAAGAAAAGCAGCAGCUUAAGACGCAGCUGGACUGACGGUACCCAAAGAAUAAGCACCGGCUAACUUCGUG